GAUGAACGCUGGCGGCGUGCCUAAUACAUGCAAGUCGAGCGAACGGACGAGAAGCUUGCUUUUCUGAUGUUAGCGGCGGACGGGUGAGUAACACGUGGAUAACCUACCUAUAAGACUGGGAUAACUUCGGGAAACCGGAGCUAAUACCGGAUAAUAUUUUGAACCGCAUGGUUCAAAAGUGAAAGACGGUCUUGCUGUCACUUAUAGAUGGAUUCUCGCUUCAUUAGCUAGUUGGUAAGGUAACGGCUUACCAAGGCAACGAUGCAUAGCCGACCUGAGAGGGUGAUCGGCCACACUGGAACUGAGCCACGGUCCAGACUCCUACGGGAGGCAGCAGUAGGGAAUCUUCCGCAAUGGGCGAAAGCCUGACGGAGCAACGCCGCGUGAGUGAUGAAGGUCUUCGGAUCGUAAAACUCUGUUAUUAGGGAAGAACAUAUGUGUAAGUAACUGUGCACAUCUUGACGGUACCUAAUCAGAAAGCCACGGCUAACUACGUG
RNAcentral lists this ribosomal RNA (497 nucleotides) under uncultured bacterium. RNAcentral's name for it is "partial 16S ribosomal RNA". It matches the Rfam family "Bacterial small subunit ribosomal RNA", at positions 28 to 507 of the family's 1533-position model. The record is from RNAcentral.